RNAcentral lists this ribosomal RNA (253 nucleotides) under uncultured bacterium. Its description in RNAcentral is "partial 16S ribosomal RNA". It matches the Rfam family "Bacterial small subunit ribosomal RNA", at positions 524 to 776 of the family's 1533-position model. The record is from RNAcentral.
UACGUAGGUGACCAGCGUUGUCCGGAUUCAUUGGGCGUAAAGGGUGCGUAGGCGGCGCGGUAAGUCGGGUGUGAAAUCUUGGAGCUUAACUCCGAAACUGCAUUCGAUACUGCCGUGCUUGAGGACUGGAGAGGAGACUGGAAUUUACGGUGUAGCGGUGAAAUGCGUAGAUAUCGUAAGGAAGACCAGUGGCGAAGGCGGGUCUCUGGACAGUUCCUGACGCUGAGGCACGAAGGCCAGGGGAGCAAACGGG